UAGUUAGGAAAGCCAUAUGAUUAGUCAGUUGAAAAAUGAUAUUUCAUGGCAUAAAAUUAUAUAAAUUGAAGGGUUAUCACAGCGAUGAUAUUCACAAAGAGGAAACAGAGAAAUAACAUCGAAAUUAAGGCCGAAUAUGAAACAUGUGUUAAUGCUUCUGAUUUGUUCUUUUGUCAUUCAAGGUAAAUAUAGGUUAUUUCUAAGUAACUUUUCAAUUAGAAAUUUGGUUUAUUUAUUAGUUUUUUUUUUUGUUAUGUAUAUAGAUAUUUUGUUUAUGCUUAAAACAUUUUUAUUUUAAGGAAAAGAAAAUGAAUGGUUUAAUUGCGUUUUUUUGUUUUGUUUUGUGUUCUUGCUGUUCCUGUUAAUUGGCGGGAAAUACAAAACAAAUAUCUGUAGAACAAGAUUUUUACAAAUUCGUUUGCAUGAUUACAAGAAGGCAUUGUUCUUAUAUUUUGUACAUUUAUUUAGCACGUUCAAUGUGAUAAUACUGAAAGUGUUUGUGAAAUUGAUCAUGAAGCCGACAUAUGCAUUUUCAUUCACGAAUGUCGAUCGAAAAAACGACAGGAAAGUACAAAAAAUGUAUACGGAAAUACCCUUUUUGUGUACCCUGAAUAUCAAAAUAAAAUUUCCGGAUAUUUAGUAAUCUUGUACCUUAUGCCCUCUUUUUAUGGCUUAAUGAGCUUUUAUAGAAUUAUUGACGUACACUAUACAUUUUCGUUUAAAACGGUUUAUUCCUUGAAUGCCAACAUCCUUUGAUCUACCGACAAUGUACCUGUAAAGUUAUGUUGGCAUUCGAGGAAUAGGUGCAAGAAGUUAUCACAACAAAAGUGGAUGCUUUUCAAAACAAUCAUUCUAAUUAAACAGAAAAGUAAAUUUCAGGUAGUUAAAUCACAUUUGAUUUCAUGUUUGUAAAAUUGUUGAAAAUUCAUUUAUGGCUGUAACUGCUUGAACAAUAUGCUCUUCUCUAAAAAUACAAAUUUGAAAUUGUUGCAUCACUAAGUCUAGACUUUGAUGGUUUUUUCAAUAUUUCUAUAGUUUUGUGUGCUGUGAUUUUCUCCUAUUUUAUUGUAUGGAAUUUCCCCUAACUUUGUAUAUUCUCAUACUUUUUUCAUAGCAUAAAAAGAAGAAUAUUUUGAAUAAUAUGUUAUUUGUUCGCAAACAGAGAACACAGAAAACAAUACUAAUAAUAUAAGUAAAAAUAUAAGCAAAUUGAAAAAAGCACUAUAAAUCUUCAUAAUUAUGUGAAUAUUGUUGAAUAUUUUAUACAAGCAAUUUUCAUUUAACAGUCUAUUACAAGUGUAAAAUUUAAUUAAUUAUUCAAUCAAAAAGUUAAUAUAGUUUAUAUUUACUAAUAAAAUAUUCAAUAUGAUAUGGAUUUAGAUAAUGCUCUAAUAUCCUUUUUUUAGUUUGAAAUAAUUGUAUUUUAUUAUAUGUCAAGAAACAUUUCCAUUUCCAAAAUAUAUUUUUUAAUAAAAAGUAAUAAAAAUAUUUUUAUUUUCUUUAAUUCUUUAGAAUUCAUGAUAGUUUUAACCCCAAAAUCUACUAUAUUUUCUUAUCAAAAAGUGAUAAAAUGUUGCAAUUUUAUCAAGUUCUGUAAUUAAGUUUUACAUUUAAAUACUUAAAAAUACUUUAAAUAUUUAAAAAUCAUUUAAAUAGUUAUAAAAACACCUAUUGUUCUUAUAUAAACAUCGAUUGAAAUAUUUUUGUUGGCAUUCAAGGAAUAGGUAACAUAUACAAUGUUGGCAUUCGAGGAAUACACCGUUCAAAACAAUGUCACACAACAAACAGUAUUGUAGAAUUCUAAACAGGCAAAGUUACUAAGGGGAUUAUACAAUCCUGAUUUCGAAGAAAGGUUACUGUAAUUAUUCUUUUUGCUAAAACUAUGCAUUACGAAAUACAAAAAAAAUGCAAACAUUUCAAAAUACAUAAUUGUUCGUGCAUAUAUGCGUCUGGCGUAAAUACCAAAUUUAAUCCUGGUAUCUAUGAUGAGUUUAUAUACUAUGACAUGUAAGAAGAGACAUCAUUAUUAAUUUUUAAAGAUUACUUAUUUAUUUCAUUUAAUUUCAUCUAAUAUCACUAAAGAUGGUCAAAAGACUAGGCCGUUAGUUUGAUUAUUUUUACAUUUGUGAGUUUUGGGCCUGUUUUAGCUGACUAUACUUUUUUUAAAGGCCGUACAGUAACCACUAGCUGUUUAUUUCUAUAUAUUUAAGUUGCUUGUGGAGAGUUGUUGCAUUGGCAAUCAUACCACAUCUUCUUAAUUUUUAUUUAGUGACUUUAUUUAACCGAUUUAAGUUCUUAUAAUUUUUAACAUAUAUUACUCACUUGGUGUUUUAAAUUAUGGCAUAGUGUUAUUAUCUUGCUGUUUCUGCAUUGGAUCUCUUAUCAAUAUGAUUUUAUCUGUAUUGCUACACAGAUUCGGAGAGUCGAGGGCAAAUACAUUUCUACCCUUUCAUUGAACCAGAACAAUAAGGUUACUUAUUGAUUUAUUGCUUACAUUUUUCCCAUUUCAUAGAAUAUAACAUUACAUCCAUGAUUGACAUCUAUUGAAAAAUCUAUUACGAGAUCAAAACAGAAACAGCCAGUUCAUAUUUUGUAUACUUGUAUUAUAUAUUUAUAUUUCUUGAAUAAAACUACGAAAAACAUGUUGAAUCAGGUAGAUGAAUAAUAUUUUGUUACAAAUAAAUAGAUGUAGUACGAAUGGCAAUGAGACGAUGGCCUUUUCUUAUAUUAAAAUAUUGAAUUUUUUGAAAUACUAAGGCUUUUCAACCUCAGGCAUAGACUACCUUAGCUGUAUUUGGCAACACUUUUAGGAAUUUUGGUCCUCAAUGCUCUUCAAUUUCGUACUUUAUUUGGCCUAUUUAACUUUUUGGAUUCGAGCGUCACUGAUGAGUCUUUUGUAGACGAAACGCGCGUCUGGCGUAUAUACUAAAUUUAGUCCUGGUAUCUAUGAUGAGUUUAUUUUUCUUUAUGUAGUCAUUACGAAGUUUGUCAAUACUGAUAAAUCUUCUGAUUGUCGUCUUAGUAAUUUAGUCUAUACUCAUGAUGCAGAAGCGUUUGCGUACGAACUAUAUAUCUUCCUUUUGAUACGAUACUCCAGAGCGUGUAUUUCUUAUCACGCUUUCCUGGAUAGAGGGUUGCUGCUCAUAAGGAACCUGUAAUCAAAGAGUUCAAAGUAGAUAUAAUCCCUUUGUAAAUUUUAAGACUAAUACCACAUUUCCUUAUUUUCAUAGUACUCCAAUUGAAGGUCGGUUGGUCUCUCCGCACAAUCUGGCUAUCCCAACCAAUAAAAAAUGACCACCACAAAAUAGCACAAUAGCGUUUUAUUCAAAGGAAUUUAAAUGAUAAAACAAGCCAGAAAUUUACCUUUUAUAUCAUGGCUAAGGCAUAUAUUGAUUUAAAGUAUCACACAAUGUAUACAAAAAAAAAUCAUGCAUAGUGCAUACUUUAACAAGACUUUUAACAAAUGUAUAUUUUAGAAUUUUAUACCACAUCUUUUUUUUCUAUUUUCACAGGUAUGUCUUGUAUGUCAUCGCUCGAAAGAAAACGAACUUUAGAAGUAUGUCAAUCUUUAGAAUUAGUUGGAACUUUCCCAAAAUCAACAUGUUACGAAAUGGAAAAAUUGCAAAAUUUUAUAUGUGGACAAUGUAUCGAUGAAGAUUGUUACAACCGGUACAUGUGCUAUCUUUGACAACAACAUCCAUGGACUAUGUUUAGUAAUUGUUUAUGCACAUUAUUAUAAACAACGGCUAUCAUGACGUUAACACAUUCAUAAGUAUAUACUAGAACACACCGUGAUAUCGCGGGUCAGUGACUGAAUUAAAGUAUCAUUUAACUAUGCGUAAGCCUUUUUUUAGUAUUGGUAUUGUCAUCUGAUAAAGUCAUGCCGAUUAUAAGUUUAUCUCCUUUCAAACUCUUUCUGUUUGAACCUGUCGACCUGGAACUUACCAAUUAUUGGUAAUAUUUAUUAUUUGGAAAACAAAAGGUCCUGGAAUGGAGUAGUUUUUAAUCAACAGCAUUGUAAAUAAAGUUGAAUUCUUUUAUUCGCUGUCUAUUACGUCAUGCCCGCUAACAAAUUGAACACUGUACCUAUAUGCUUUAUUUUAAGUCCAGUUUUUUUAGUAUUCGUAUUGUUAUCUUAGAAAGUCUUAUUGAUUAAAAUACUACAAUAGGGAACGAUUUGACAAUGCUUGAAUUUGUUAGGGUCAACCCCUGUGAUAUAGCAUAGUCCUUAAUACACCGUUUGGUGGUGCUCCUGUCAGAUGCAGAACGUACAGAUGAGAUAAUAGGUAACAGGUGAAUAUACUAUUGGUAUCGGUAUCAGAUUCGACCCGGAACUUGUUAAUUAUUGGCACUAUUAAUUAUGUGGAAAACAAAAGGGUGUAGAUCUGGAGUGGUGUAAUUUUUAAUCUACACCAUUGUCCUAUGCUAGUUAUAUAUAAAGUUGAAUUCUUUGAUUUUUACCUGAUGACGGCUGACAAAUUGGACCUCGUUAUUUUAGUAUUAUAGAUUUGUGGAGUAAAUAUAUUUCAAGUAACCCACUACAUUUGACUUUAUUCGAUACUUUUGUUAUGUGUACCUUAUGAUUUUACUCACAUAUCCUGUCAGCCAAAA
This 4611-nucleotide long non-coding RNA is filed under the name Mytilus galloprovincialis (Mediterranean mussel). The record is from RNAcentral. Lineage: Eukaryota; Metazoa; Mollusca; Bivalvia; Mytilida; Mytilidae.